Molecule: unclassified non-coding RNA, 320 nt
Filed under: plant metagenome
Description: partial contains 5.8S ribosomal RNA, internal transcribed spacer 2, and large subunit ribosomal RNA
Rfam family: 5.8S ribosomal RNA (bases 1-105)
Source: RNAcentral
GAAAUGCGAUAACUAAUGUGAAUUGCAGAAUUCAGUGAAUCAUCGAGUCUUUGAACGCACAUUGCGCCCUCUGGUAUUCCGGAGGGCAUGCCUGUCCGAGCGUCAUUGCUGCCCUCAAGCACGGCUUGUGUGUUGGGCCCCGUCCCCCCGCUCCGGGGGGGACGGGCCCGAAAGGCAGCGGCGGCACCGCGUCCGGUCCUCGAGCGUAUGGGGCUUCGUCACCCGCUCUUGUAGGCCCGGCCGGCGCCAGCCGACCCCCAACCUUUUAUUUUUUCUCAGGUUGACCUCGGAUCAGGUAGGGAUACCCGCUGAACUUAAGC